This 388-nucleotide ribosomal RNA is filed under the name uncultured bacterium. Its description in RNAcentral is "bacterial SSU rRNA". It matches the Rfam family "Bacterial small subunit ribosomal RNA", at positions 28 to 412 of the family's 1533-position model. The record is from RNAcentral.
GACGAACGCUGGCGGCGUGCUUAACACAUGCAAGUCGAGCGGUAAGGCCCUUUCGGGGGUACGACGAGCGGCGAACGGGUGAGUAACACGUGGGUGACCUGCCCUCCAGCUCUGGGAGUAAGCCUGGGAAACCGGGGUCUAAUACUGGAUAUGACUCCAUGACGCAUGUUGUGGGGUGGAAAGCCUUGUGCGGCUGAGGAUGGGCCCGCGGCCUAUCAGCUUGUUGGUGGGGUGGAUGGCCUACCAAGGCGACGACGGGUAGCCGGCCUGAGAGGGCGACCGGCCACACUGGGACUGAGACACGGCCCAGACUCCUACGGGAGGCAGCAGUGGGGAAUCUUGCGCAAUGGGCGAAAGCCUGACGCAGCGACGCCGCGUGAGGGAUGAC